This 346-nucleotide unclassified non-coding RNA is filed under the name uncultured fungus. Its description in RNAcentral is "sequence contains ITS2". The record is from RNAcentral. Lineage: Eukaryota; Fungi.
AACGCACAUUGCACUCUAUCUCGGUAGAGUAUGCCUGUUUGAGAAUCUAUAGUAUUCUUUUUCCUAUGAUUGACUUUUAGUUAAUUCAUAGUGAAAGAUUUGUAAAAUCUCAUAUUUUUUAUGAGUUUUAUUAAAUAGAUUGCUUUGUUUUCUAUAGAAAUGUUUGAAGUUCUCUAUAAAAAACUUUGCAGAAAAGUAUUUGAAUGGAACGAAAGUUUCUCCCUAUACUGAUUAAGCAAAGAGAGAAUUAGUUUCUAUAGGUUUGAAUAAAGUUCAUAACCAUUAAAGAUAGUAAAAUAUCUUGAACCAUGGUCUCAAAUCAGGUAGGAUUACCCGCUGAACUUAA